GCCGCGUGGGUGAAGAAGGCCUGCGGGUUGUAAAGCCCUUUCGGUUGGGAAGAAAAGUGUUGACCUAACACGUCAGUACCUUGACGUAACCAACAAAAGAAGCACCGGCUAACUCUGUGCCAGCAGCCGCGGUAAUACAGAGGGUGCAAGCGUUAAUCGGAAUUACUGGGCGUAAAGCGCACGUAGGCGGCUUGAUAAGUCGAGUGUGAAAUUCCCGGGCUUAACCUGGGACCUGCAUUCGAAACUGUCUUGCUAGAGUAUGGGAGAGGGAAGUGGAAUUUCAGGUGUAGCGGUGAAAUGCGUAGAUAUCUGAAGGAACAUCAGUGGCGAAAGCGACUUCCUGGACCAAUACUGACGCUCAGGUGCGAAAGCGUGGGGAGCAAACAGGAUUAGAUACCCUGGUAGUCCACGCCAUAAACGAUGAGAACUAGAUGUUGGGAGGAUUAGCCUCUCGGUGUCGUAGCUAACGCGUUAAGUUCUCCGCCUGGGGAGUACGGGCGCAAAGUUGAAACUCGAAGGAAUUGACGGGGACCCGCACCAGCGGUGGAGCCUGUGGUUUAA
Molecule: ribosomal RNA, 561 nt
Filed under: uncultured bacterium
Lineage: Bacteria
Description: bacterial SSU rRNA
Rfam family: Bacterial small subunit ribosomal RNA
Source: RNAcentral